GUGAGGAAUAUUGGACAAUGGGCGCAAGCCUGAUCCAGCCAUGCCGCGUGCAGGAAGACGCAUCUAUGGUGUGUAAACUGCUUUUGUACGGGAAGAAACACUCCCUCGUGAGGGAGCUUGACGGUACCGUAAGAAUAAGGAUCGGCUAACUUCGUGCCAGCAGCCGCGGUAAUACGGAGGAUCCAAGCGUUAUCCGGAAUCAUUGGGUUUAAAGGGUCCGUAGGCGGUUUAAUAAGUCAGUGGUGAACGCCCAUCGCUCAACGAUGGAACGGCCAUUGAUACUGUUAGACUUGAAUUACAAGGAAGUAACUAGAAUAUGUAGUGUAGCGGUGAAAUGCUUAGAUAUUACAUGGAAUACCAAUUGCGAAGGCAGGUUACUACUUGUGGAUUGACGCUGAUGGACGAAAGCGUGGGGAGCGAACAGGAUUAGAAACCCUUGUAGUCC
Molecule: ribosomal RNA, 445 nt
Filed under: uncultured bacterium
Lineage: Bacteria
Description: partial 16S ribosomal RNA
Rfam family: Bacterial small subunit ribosomal RNA
Source: RNAcentral